Dioscorea cayenensis subsp. rotundata (Guinea yam) is the source of this 1518-nucleotide RNA transcript. It is a transcript of the gene named receptor-like protein 30, with no coding region annotated. The transcript has 3 exons. The record is from RefSeq and is a predicted model, not a curated record. NCBI's taxonomy places the organism in Eukaryota, Viridiplantae, Streptophyta, Magnoliopsida, Dioscoreales, Dioscoreaceae.
CUCUCUCUCUCUUUGUGAAACCCUCUUGAGAAAGUUUGAAGAGCUUCUUGUUUGUCGUAAAUCCUCGCAUUCGUGUGCUGCUUUGUAUCUCCAUCUUCUUCUGAUCUCGUAGUAUCUCUUCAUCUUGGAGUUGAUUAGAUCUCGAUUUGUGAAACCCUUGAAGUUUGUGCUUGAUCGAAGUACCUUUCUUUGGUUUUUUCAUCGAUUGAAUUGUUUUAGGGCUUUCGGUUUGAUGCAUUAAGGUGUUUGAUCUCGUGUUUUGAUGUGUUUGUCAUGAUUUGUGGUAUUUAGGGUUGGAAUUUGUUAAGAGCUCAAAUUCUCGCUCCUCCCUACCCCUUAAUUUGCACAGCCACAUCCCUCCAACCGCUCCUACAAAAGCACAAAAAGAAAGGAGCAAGACUUCUUUCCACCGAAGCCACCUCAACAUUAAUUAAGAGGAUGACUUCAAAAAUAGAGAAUAAAGGAUAUACAGGAUUGUCAACAACAAUAACUUCAAUGGAAGCAUUCCUUCAACACUGAACCUAGUGCCGACAUUAGAGGCUCUAUAAGUUUAUCUAAAGAGAAAUUAACAAAUGCAAUGCAUUGAGAUUUACUACUUGAAACAUUCUAACAAGCGUCUCGAUCGAAAUAAAUUAACCGGGCAAGUACCUCCCACCCUUAAUAGCCUUGCUAGCAUCAAAGAACUGUGAGAAGAAAUAUUUUUGUUGAAAACUUUAUAAUGUUUCAUGUAAAUAAUAUACGAUCAGUGAUCAUUGUUUCCAUUUCUGGUAUUUAUCGAAUAAUAUGUUAUCUGGUCCUUGCCAAACUUAAUUGGAAUGAAUGCACUCUCUUAUGUGUAAGUGCUAGAUUUUCAGUGAUUUCUGAAUCACUUUGCUGAUUUUUUUUAAUAAUUAGUUUUUUGCUUUCAGGGACUUGAGUAACAAUUCCUUUGGUGCAUUAGACGUGCCUUCAUGGUUCUCAACCUUGCCAUCUUUGACAACACUGUACAUCACUCUCUCUUUCUCUGGAUUAUUCAUUCAACUUAAUAUUUCUAAUGUGCAUAUGUUUAAACUGCAGAUUACUCAAAAAACACAUGUUCAAGGCCAGGUACCAGCACAACUAUAUAGUUUUUCACCAUUACAGACUGCGCAAGUCUUGGUCUUCUUCCAAUGUUCAUUUAUCUAAUAAGUAUAGUCUUGCAUUAACUAACUACAAGGAAUACAAACGGCUAAAAAAUAACUCAUUAUCAAUGCAAGUCUUGGUCUUCUUCGAAUGUUCAUUUAUCUAAUGAGUAUAGUCUUGCAUUAACUAACUACAACGAAUACAAACAGCUAAAAAUAUUAAACUAGGGAUUGUUCAAGGCCAGGUACCAGCGCAACUAUUUAGUUUUUCAUCUUUAUUCACAUGACAUUAUAUCUACAUUGCACGGAUACAAAGAAACAAACAAAGCCAAUUCACUUCAGUAACAGUACCACUAGACCCAUGGACACCGUCACACAUCUUGAACCCCUUAUUAUUAUUAUUAUUAUUAUUAUUAUU